Molecule: long non-coding RNA, 415 nt
Organism: Apodemus sylvaticus (European woodmouse)
Lineage: Eukaryota; Metazoa; Chordata; Mammalia; Rodentia; Muridae
Exons: 3
Source: RefSeq, a predicted model, not a curated record
CUGAGGACAGGACAUAGUUGAAGGGCUUUCCUUCUGUCAUUUAUUUAUUCUAACUCGAUCGUCCUUUAGUUUCUAUCACUAACUAUUCCAGUCACCUGUGAACUCCAGCAUGAACCACUGUGUUCUCAGAGCGAACCGCUGCCCAAGGACCACGCUGUCCACUCAUGUAGCUGUCAGUGGCAGCCAUUUUGAAUUCUUUGUCUUAGGAAACUGCGUUUACAGUGACUGCAGUUAAGGAGCAGAUUUCAGCAGAUUCUUAGCCUAAGCCUAAACACAGUGACACGAGUCCUGAACCUGUAUUACUCCUGAGCUUGUAGCAACUGCAAACUUGCUCCUCUAGUUUACACAAGAAACUCCUGGAACAAGCUCAGAAUGAAACGCCUGGUGGAUCAUCUUCUCGUCGGGUCUUAGUUCU